RNAcentral lists this transfer RNA (82 nucleotides) under Schistocephalus solidus. It matches the Rfam family "tRNA". From Rfam's summary of the family: Transfer RNA (tRNA) molecules are approximately 80 nucleotides in length. Their secondary structure includes four short double-helical elements and three loops (D, anti-codon, and T loops). Further hydrogen bonds mediate the characteristic L-shaped molecular structure. tRNAs have two regions of fundamental functional importance: the anti-codon, which is responsible for specific mRNA codon recognition, and the 3' end, to which the tRNAs corresponding amino acid is attached (by aminoacyl-tRNA synthetases). tRNAs cope with the degeneracy of the genetic code in two manners: having more than one tRNA (with a specific anti-codon) for a particular amino acid; and 'wobble' base-pairing, i.e. permitting non-standard base-pairing at the 3rd anti-codon position. Lineage: Eukaryota; Metazoa; Platyhelminthes; Cestoda; Diphyllobothriidea; Diphyllobothriidae. The record is from Rfam by way of RNAcentral.
GGCCUCGUAGCUCAGAUGCUUAGUGUGUUGGCUGACCUAUGCCUUGUCCUUGUUUUCGUGGGUUCAAAUCCCACCAAGGCCA